AUUGAAUGCUGGCGGCAUGCUUUACGCAUGCAAGUCGAACGGUAACAGGCCUUCGGGUGCUGACGAGUGGCGAACGGGUGAGUAAUGCAUCGGAACGUGCCCAGAGGUGGGGGAUAACGCAGCGAAAGCUGUGCUAAUACCGCAUGUGAUCUGAGGAUGAAAGCGGGGGACCAGGCAGCAAUGUUUGGCCUCGCGCCUUUGGAGCGGCCGAUGUCAGAUUAGGUAGUUGGUGGGGUAAAGGCCUACCAAGCCGACGAUCUGUAGCUGGUCUGAGAGGACGACCAGCCACACUGGGACUGAGACACGGCCCAGACUCCUACGGGAGGCAGCAGUGGGGAAUUUUGGACAAUGGGCGCAAGCCUGAUCCAGCAAUGCCGCGUGCGGGAAGAAGGCCUUCGGGUUGUAAACCGCUUUUGUACGGAACGAAAAGGCUCUGGCUAAUACCUGGGGCUGAUGACGGUACCGUAAGAAUAAGCACCGGCUAACUACGUG
Molecule: ribosomal RNA, 492 nt
Filed under: uncultured bacterium
Lineage: Bacteria
Description: partial 16S ribosomal RNA
Rfam family: Bacterial small subunit ribosomal RNA
Source: RNAcentral